GUUCGGACCCGAGGAACCGAGGACCCCAGCAGUGAGUUCAGCUGCUUCGGUAUUGUCAGAGUCAGCCAGAGGUGAGUGGAACGAAACUAAAUCUUUUAAAGUAAAUGUUUUAUCAUGUUUCAUGCAUCAUGAUUAUGUAAUAGGGUGAUUGCAUUAGUUUCCACGAAUAUGCCGCAUUGCAUCGAUUGUUGUUGAUGUGGGUGAAUGUUGGAUGACCCAAUUAGUCCAUGACAGGAAGACCAGGCCCCAUGCUACAGGCCUGGCACAGAGUAAGAAAGACCAGGCCCCAUUCUACAGGCCUGGCACAGAGUAAGGAAAGACCAGGAUUCCAUCCUAUGGUCUAGCACGGUUACGGGACUCGAGACCAGGAGCUUAGAGGAGGCCCUGGGGAAAUGGUAAGUAAAGUAUGUUCUGACAGGAAAGACCAGGACCCCAUUCUACAGGCCUGGCACAGAGUUAACUUGGACUAAUUGGUGACAAGUUCACCCAACCCUUAUGUGAAUUGUCUGUGUUAUGAUGCAUUUCAUUAAAGCAUAGUGUUAAUAUGUUUUAUAGUUCAGCUCACUGGGCUUUUAGCUCACCCCUCUCCCUUUACCCCCAGGCUUGCAGGUACAGUAUAGAGCGGGAGUCCGGAUAGAGUAAGGAAGUCAUGUCUAUGUAAUAGCUAGCAAUGGACAUGAUCGGAUUGUAAUGUAAUGUCUUAAGUAUAGUAUAAUUAUGUAAUGAUGUUUAUGGAUGUUUAGAGGUGUGCUUGACCAUAGAUGUUGUAAUCCCUUUUAAUACAUGAUCUUGGUUAUUUUAUGCCAUUUAUGUAAACCAACUCAGCAUAUGUUGUGUCACCCAUUGGGGACACUGAUGAGAUCCCACAGAGGGAUCAAUG
This 880-nucleotide long non-coding RNA is filed under the name Manihot esculenta (cassava). RNAcentral's name for it is "long non-coding RNA (MESC_LNC009422)". Lineage: Eukaryota; Viridiplantae; Streptophyta; Magnoliopsida; Malpighiales; Euphorbiaceae. The record is from RNAcentral.